Molecule: long non-coding RNA, 1220 nt
Filed under: Papio anubis (olive baboon)
Lineage: Eukaryota; Metazoa; Chordata; Mammalia; Primates; Cercopithecidae
Description: lncRNA (ENSPANG00000040798.1)
Source: RNAcentral
CGGAGAGAAAGAGCCUGGCAUCGAGAAGGGGAGGGCAGAGAGUCUGCAACUGGAAAUGCUGAGUGGCAAUUUCGUUUUAGCCUGGCUUGUCACAGGACUGAUGAAUGGGCCUCUAGCACGUUAAAAUCUCCCUCAGGUCCAAGCGGAGGCCUACCUCACCUAUGUGCAUCCAGAGACGGUAGGUGGCGCUGUGGUGUUAACAGAUUAAAGGAGGUCGUGAUAAAACGCUACGGAGAGAAGUGUCUGGAAAAAACAGGGAGUGGGAGUACUGGCUUGGAGAGGGGCAAGAUGAAUAUGCAUUCUCAUUCAAUGUCUUUCCAAUUCAGUCUAGGGUCGUGUACAGUGAUGUCCUGGACCUUCACAUUCACUGACCACUCACUGACUGACUCAUCUAGAGCAACUUCCAGUCCUGCAAGCUCCACUCAUGGUUCUGUACAUUAUGACAGUGGAGGAAUUACGGGAAUCAUUUCUGCAGCUCAAAUGGAAAUGUCGGUCUCCAAUACUCUUCUGUUAGGUUCACCAGUUUAGAAGCACCUGCGAGGUGUAUAUCAAAGAUUGUGGGGAUUCAAAGGAAGAAAAUACACUGUUUGGUUUAGAAACAAAAAGGUGGAAUAUAUACUCCAAGAAGUCUUCAUGACAUAGGAGGCAUUUGACAGAAAGAUGGGUCACAUUUAACAAGGCAGAGACAUGGUGCAUGGAAUAUUUAGAUUAAAUGUAGAAGCAGAUAGAAGGCAAAUGAUACGUUUGGAGUUUGACAAGAAUUUCAGCUUUAGACAUGGGGCUAGCAGGUGCUAUGAUUGUGCUGCAGGGCCAGAUGGUGAAAUGCUUGACCCAAGUGUUUGGAUUUUCUCAUGUGGGCAGCAAGGACUCAAUAAUUAACAAUUUGAAGAAUAAAAUACUGAAUUAGUUGAGACAAGAUUGGGUAUCAUUUUUAUUGUUUCAAAUAUUUCAGAAUACCAGUAUGCUGUUUUGCCACUUUGGCAUUUUAAUGGAGAUGUAAAAUUUCCCUCUCCACCCAAUUUGGAGUGAACAGAAGGAGCUGUACUUCUAAAAUAAUAUCGACAUAUGAGUUAGCUUUCUACAAACAUAAAAGAGGAUAAUUAGAAAACAUAUGUUUGAUUCCAAUGUAGGUUAAAAACAUUCACAUGUAUUUAAAAGUGUACACCUUGACCUUUGGCAAAUAGCUAAUAACAAAAUUUUAUUUUUGCAAUGUCUUUUAA